AGAGAAAAACAAAAAGAAAAAAAGGAAGGGGGAGGAACCAAAAAGAAACGGAGGGAGGCUUCGGAUAAAAGAGGGAGCGGCUAGGUGUUUUUGAAAAAAAGCCAGGACUGAGGAAGCUUUUGGAGAUUGAGAGGGAAAAACAGAGAGCUUCGUUUGGGGGGCUAGAGAAAAAGAAAACAGAGAACCAGAAAACAGGGGAAGGGGCUUCGGCCGAAACAAAAAAAAAAAAAAAAGAGAGCAAGAGAAAAACCUGGAAAAAAUUGGGGAGGUUUUCGGAAGGCAAAACAGAAAAGGAAAAGGGAAGAUUCGGACUGAAACGGAGAGGAAGGAAACAGCAAUGAAAAAUCAGAAAAUAAAGCUGGAAGUUGGAGAGGAAAAAGGGAGGAUGGCGGAGAGAAAAAGAAGACUCCAAUGGCGGCUAGGGUUGAGGGAACCAACAGAAAAAGCUGAGAUCAAGCGGACAAAAAAAACAGAGGGAGUUUCGUCUGAGAGCAAAGGGAAAAAUCUGGAAAAACAUGAAGAGGGAAUCUGAGAGUUUGGAGGGGCGGCUGAGCAGAGAAAAACCAGAAAAAGGAGAGGAGCGGCAGAGUAAGGGAAACUAGAGAGGCUAUGGGCUGAGGAGAAACGAAGCCAAGGCAAGAGAGGAGAAGGAGGCUUCGGCUGAAAAUGGAAAUAGAGGAGGAAAGGAAUUGCGGGCAAGAAACCAGAGCCAAGCUGCGGCGAGAAACGGAGGGGCUGCCACCACCUCAUCAGAUAUCCAUCACCAUCAUCUGCGGAUCUUCACCGAGGAGGAGCUUUUCAAGAGCUCUGCAAGGCGAUUUUCAGGGAUAUAAAAGCAGCGUUUGAGAUUCAGUUUUCACGGGUGAUAGAUGCAUGUGCAUUUCCGAAGAUGUAUGGUGGCCAAACUCCCUUCCCCUAGGUAUGGGUUCACCAUUGUGCGUUGGAAGCCAAGUGCAACUGGGCAGCUGACACUCAACACUGAUGGGUGUUCCAAGGGGAAUCCCAGUAUGAGUGGUGGAGGUGGAGUGAUUAGGGAUUCCAAUGGUCAACUAGUGUUUGCAUUCUCAGCGUUCCUUGGUGAAGAAACCAGCUUACAGGCAGAGACUCUAGCGCUAUUAAUAGGGCUCCGGCUGUGUGCGGGAUGGGGAGUGGCCACACCGUUUGUUCAAUCGGACUCUGCAAUCUUAGUGGGCGUUCUACAAUGGCGAUUCCAUUGCCCGUGGCAUGUUCGGGCGGAGGUAGAGUAGAUAUGGCAAAUGGUUACGGAGGUGGGCAGGUUCUGACACUGUGUUCGAGAGACGAACAAAGUAGCAGACGUAUUGGCUAAUGUGAGGGUCACGCUUACAAUUUAUGACACCCUAGAGGCGGCUCCGGUGUUGGCUAGGGGUGCAAUUCGACUUGAUCAGUUGGGAGUACCGGCUGUUAGGAGAGGGAGGAGGGCCGUGAGAGGAGACACUUUGUCGUGACAGGAGAAACUUUUCCUUGUACUUAAAACUUUGUGCUUCUAUAUCUUGUAUUUGGUUUUUAUGAAUAAAAUCUAAAGAGUUUGUUUUAAAAAAAA
This is a non-coding RNA of Coffea arabica (coffee), 1561 nucleotides long. The record is from RefSeq and is a predicted model, not a curated record. Lineage: Eukaryota; Viridiplantae; Streptophyta; Magnoliopsida; Gentianales; Rubiaceae.